GGAAUAAGAACAGUGACUGCACUUUCAGAAUAAACCAGCUGAAAGAAAGUGAUUCAGCAAUAUAUCGCUUCAAGUUCCUGACCGACCGUUAUGGUGGAAAAUAGACUGGUCUGCCUGGAGUCUCGUUGACAGUUACAGGUCUUCAGGUGAAAGUGACAGAGAAUGAGGCACAGAGUGUAACACUGACCUGUAGCAGCACCUGCACUUUGAGUGGCAGCCCUACCUUUACCUGGUACAAGAAUGGAAAAGUUGUGCCCUAUGAGUAUAAAUACUCCCUCAAUGUAGCCAGCACUGAUGAUACAGAUCUCUACUCCUGUGCUACAGGAGGAGUCACUUCCCCUGCAGUCAAUGUGAAAUAUGCUCCUAAAAACACCUCAGUAUCAGUGAGCCCCUCUGGUGAAAUAGUGGAGGGCAGUUCAGUGACUCUGACCUGCAGCAGUAAUGCCAACCCACCAGUGCA
Molecule: long non-coding RNA, 460 nt
Organism: Anguilla rostrata (American eel)
Lineage: Eukaryota; Metazoa; Chordata; Actinopteri; Anguilliformes; Anguillidae
Exons: 3
Source: RefSeq, a predicted model, not a curated record